RNAcentral lists this ribosomal RNA (253 nucleotides) under uncultured prokaryote. RNAcentral describes it as "partial 16S ribosomal RNA". It matches the Rfam family "Bacterial small subunit ribosomal RNA", at positions 524 to 776 of the family's 1533-position model. The record is from RNAcentral.
GACGUAGGGGGCAAGCGUUGUCCGGAAUGAUUGGGCGUAAAGCGUCCGCAGGUGGUAUUUCAAGUCUGCUGUUAAAAAGUUUGGCUCAACCAAAUAAGGGCAGUGGAAACUGAAGAACUAGAGUGCGUUCGGGGUAGAGGGAAUUCCUGGUGUAGCGGUGAAAUGCGUAGAGAUCAGGAAGAACACCGGUGGCGAAAGCGCUCUACUAGGCCGCAACUGACACUGAGGGACGAAAGCUAGGGGAGCGAAUGGG